RNAcentral lists this non-coding RNA (28 nucleotides) under Mus musculus (house mouse). Lineage: Eukaryota; Metazoa; Chordata; Mammalia; Rodentia; Muridae. The record is from RNAcentral.
UGUCACGUAUAUCAGAUGUGUAUCAGGA